GCCGGCCGCUUCCCAGCCAGGCUGAAAGGGCUCGGGAAGCUAGCUGGCCUUG
Molecule: microRNA precursor, 52 nt
Filed under: Cervus hanglu yarkandensis (Yarkand deer)
Lineage: Eukaryota; Metazoa; Chordata; Mammalia; Artiodactyla; Cervidae
Description: miRNA (ENSCHYG00000012014.1)
Source: RNAcentral